This 363-nucleotide transfer-messenger RNA is filed under the name Escherichia coli. It matches the Rfam family "transfer-messenger RNA". From Rfam's summary of the family: Bacterial tmRNA, also known as 10Sa RNA or SsrA, is named for its dual tRNA and mRNA-like properties. Its role is to liberate the mRNA from a stalled ribosome. Lineage: Bacteria; Pseudomonadati; Pseudomonadota; Gammaproteobacteria; Enterobacterales; Enterobacteriaceae. The record is from RNAcentral.
GGGGCUGAUUCUGGAUUCGACGGGAUUUGCGAAACCCAAGGUGCAUGCCGAGGGGCGGUUGGCCUCGUAAAAAGCCGCAAAAAAUAGUCGCAAACGACGAAAACUACGCUUUAUCAGCUUAAUAACCUGCUUAGAGCCCUCUCUCCCUAGCCUCCGCUCUUAGGACGGGGAUCAAGAGAGGUCAAACCCAAAAGAGAUCGCGUGGAAGCCCUGCCUGGGGUUGAAGCGUUAAAACUUAAUCAGGCUAGUUUGUUAGUGGCGUGUCCGUCCGCAGCUGGCAAGCGAAUGUAAAGACUGACUAAGCAUGUAGUACCGAGGAUGUAGGAAUUUCGGACGCGGGUUCAACUCCCGCCAGCUCCACCA